UACGAAGGGGGCUAGCGUUGCUCGGAAUCACUGGGCGUAAAGGGUGCGUAGGCGGGGCUUUAAGUCAGGGGUGAAAUCCUGGAGCUCAACUCCAGAACUGCCUUUGAUACUGAGGAUCUUGAGUUCGGGAGAGGUGAGUGGAACUGCGAGUGUAGAGGUGAAAUUCGUAGAUAUUCGCAAGAACACCAGUGGCGAAGGCGGCUCACUGGCCCGAUACUGACGCUGGGGCACGAAAGCGUGGGGAGCAAACAGG
This 253-nucleotide ribosomal RNA is filed under the name uncultured bacterium. RNAcentral describes it as "partial 16S ribosomal RNA". It matches the Rfam family "Bacterial small subunit ribosomal RNA", at positions 524 to 776 of the family's 1533-position model. The record is from RNAcentral.